This 467-nucleotide ribosomal RNA is filed under the name Actinomyces sp. canine oral taxon 083. RNAcentral describes it as "bacterial SSU rRNA". It matches the Rfam family "Bacterial small subunit ribosomal RNA", at positions 9 to 465 of the family's 1533-position model. Lineage: Bacteria; Bacillati; Actinomycetota; Actinomycetes; Actinomycetales; Actinomycetaceae. The record is from RNAcentral.
GAGUUUGAUUAUGGCUCAGGACGAACGCUGGCGGCGUGCUUAACACAUGCAAGUCGAACGGGAUCUGAUGGGGCUUUUGCUUUGUUGGUGAGAGUGGCGAACGGGUGAGUAACACGUGAGUAAACCUGCCCUCAACAUUUGAAUAACUCCAUGAAAGUGGGGCUAAUGCAAUAUAUUCUGCAGUCAUCGCAUGGUGGUUGUGGGAAACGGUUUUUUCUGGUUGGGGAUGGGCUCGCGGCCUAUCAGCUUGUUGGUGGGGUGAUGGCCUACCAAGGCGGUGACGGGUAGCCGGCCUGAGAGGGUGGACGGCCACACUGGGACUGAGAUACGGCCCAGACUCCUACGGGAGGCAGCAGUGGGGGAUUUUGCACAAUGGGCGCAAGCCUGAUGCAGCGACGCCGCGUGAGGGAUGACGGCCUUCGGGUUGUAAACCUCUUUCGCUAGGUUGGAAGACGUCUUUUUGGAGU